Molecule: long non-coding RNA, 269 nt
Filed under: Salvia miltiorrhiza (redroot sage)
Lineage: Eukaryota; Viridiplantae; Streptophyta; Magnoliopsida; Lamiales; Lamiaceae
Description: long non-coding RNA (SMIL_LNC007014)
Source: RNAcentral
GGCUUCCAGUGGAACUUCACGUAGUUGACCUUGCCGGCCUUGUUGAUGAGGGUGAAGGUGUGCACGCCGAAGCCCUCCAUGUGCCGGUAGUCCUGCGGGAUGCCGUAGUCGUCGAAGAAGAAGGUGAAGGUGUUGAGGCUCUCCGGGAUGUGGGAGAAGAAGUCCAGGUAACGCCAUGUUUCCUGGAUGUGGGAUUUCGGGUUCGGUUUCAUCGCGUGGAUCAGGUCCGGGAACUUCAUCCCGUCCCGGAUGAAGAACACCGGGAUGUU